Molecule: long non-coding RNA, 7956 nt
Organism: Gallus gallus (chicken)
Lineage: Eukaryota; Metazoa; Chordata; Aves; Galliformes; Phasianidae
Source: Ensembl
GGACAGCAGAAAUCAUCUCAUCUGUAGGCAAGUUGCUGCUGAUGUGUUUGAAAUUCCAAGGCCAUGUUGGGCCUUGGGCAACCUGGUCUGGCAGGAGGUGUCCCAUCUUCUUGGAUGAAAGUUUCACAUCAGUAUGACAGCUGCAAUCAUAAAAAAUACAACUUUUGCAACACUGCAGAUUUUAGACAGUUGAGUCAGCCUUAGAGUAACAUCAGAAGGAGCUUCCACUCCUUUCUGUGUUGAAAAUGCAAAUUAUCAUUUCUUAGGCGAGUUCCCUUAGCACAAGACUCCUCCUGACCUCACAGACCAAGCAAAUGCUAUCCCAGGUGGAAGUGAGAACAAUUACUUACCCACACUUCACCCCACAUUCAUGGUUCUGUUCACGUGCACACACAUGUGUAGGUACAUCUCCAAACAGCACUCAAGUAAGCAACCCCACCUCACCCUGAAGUCUGAUGAUCAAAAUAAGCAAACAGAACAAAACCCAUGCCUCUCGUCACCAUUUUAUUUUGUUGUUACUCUGAAAAUCUUUAAGACAUUCUGCGCAGUCCAAGGGCUAUCUUUGCCAUUUCCAGAGCUGCCACAUCCUGAUGCUUACUGUUGCAUCCUGGCGUACACUGAUGGGUUCAUCCCAGCUAAGGCUCACUGAUUGUUUCAGAACUUCCAAUUGGAGUAAGUCAAUUGAUCAGGCCAAGUAACAGACAGUAUUAAAACAGAAAACAUUCUUUAUCCUAUGAUCAGAAUACAGGUAACAUAUUAUUUCUGUACUUUGGACAGUAGUUUAAUGCAACUAUGUCUGGAAAAUACAAUAUAGUUGGGGGAUGUCUGAUGUAUUAAAUCAAGUCUUUUUUCAUUUAAGUCUGUGAAUGUUCAGAAACCUGUGCUAGAAUUUGGCCUACUGUGUCAUUUACUAAAGUGUAAGAGGAAAAUAGCGUUCUGAAGUGUUCUGCUUGCAAAGAAAUUCUUCCUUUGUGGCUUUGAUUUGUUUGCAGAGAGUUAAUUUGCUUUGACUUUCCAAGGUGCUUUUCUAAACUAUUAAAACAUGCAACUUUAUCGAAGCAACUGUAAUGUAAUCAGCAGUAACAGUGAAUAAAACAAUGGCUUAUAAAGAAUUGAAUUUUCAUUUUAUGUCUAAAUUCCACCACAUACACAAGAUUUACAUCUCAACCACAUCAGUCUAACAUAUCCAUGGCACAGCAAACACAACUGCACUGAGAGAAUACCUGGAUUUAUAAAUAUAAAUUGACAAUUACAUUACUAAUCCACUGGAUCAUAUAACGCUGUUAAUCAAAAUAUUUGUCAUGGGAGUGAAAAAUAGUAAAGAACCAGAAACACAUUUCAAGAAAAGAUAAAUAUUACAGUAUGAUCUGAUUUAAUACUCUUUAAAACAGAUUUCUUAACUGUUCAGGCUUGACGCUGCAAAUCACAGCUCCCUUGCUAUAGGGAACUCCUAGAAGAGCAGCAAAGUUUUAUCUUUCCUGGUGUGCUCAGCAUUCAGUGCUAUUUACAAUCAGCAGAUGAACCUAACUAAAGCAUUGAAAUAGCACAAAUUUAUUACCAUGAACAACUAUCUUAUGCUCCCAUAAACUUUAUGUUUUAUCUUUUGAAAAGCUCCUGCUAUUUAAUACGAUUUAGCCUCUUACUUUUAAUCUCCUACUGCAGUAGCAAGAAAAGACCUCAUACUGCUCUGGCAUGUUACGGCGUUGUCAUGGAUACACAAGUAUGGUACAUUACUUCCACCAGUAAAUAAACACGGAUCUCAAGGAGCGCUCGGUGGGAUUUACUAGCCCCAUAGCAUUGUUAGCUGCACAGAGCUUUAAAUAAGCAAAUGGUUCGUUCUUGUAGAGUCAUACCCAGGGCUGUCUAGGGGCAUGCAUGCAUGAUCCAUUUUUCUUUAAAGAAAUAGAAGGGUGAGUGCUGGACUCUAGAAUUUACUCGUUUCUCUGCCUCCGAUUUUGCCUUGUAGAAUGCAUGGCAGAUAACUCUAAUGUGGCAGAUAAUGAGGAGGUCACCUGUUAAUUGUUUAAGCAAGUGAUUUAUGUUUUUACAUAUAUGAACACUAAGUAAGUGUCCUUUUGUGUGGGGGGGGGGAGGGGAAGGGAGAGAGGGGAGGAAUAAGUAUUUUUAAUGUAGCAGUAUGGUGCUCAUGCUAUCCUUGCUGUCUUUCUGACACCAAAGUUUUGGAGAACACAAAGUUGGAUAGGACAAGAGGGAAUGGCCUCAAGUUGUGUCAUGGGAGGUUCGGGUUGGAUAUUAGGAAGAAUCUCCUCUCAGGAACAGUGGUGAGUGUUAGAAGAAGCUGCACAGGGAGGUGAUGGAGUCACUGUCCCUGGAGGUGUUUAAGGGAAAAGCAGAUGUAAUACUUAGGGACAUGGUUAGUGGCCAUGGUGGUGAUGGACUGGUGGGUGGACUAGAUGAUCUUAGAGGUCUUUUCCAACCUUGAUGAUUCCAUGAUUCAUGAUUCCAUCUCACGGUAUGUACGUCAACAGCUACAGCAUGGCUGACUUGCUUCCAAGAAAUCAGUGUCUUACACUGAUGCAGGGAUGUACAUCAAAUGCCUAAGGCUUCUGCUUCAAGACAGGAAAACAUUAUAGUGAAGGUUGUAGUACUUAACAUUAAGCUCCACAACAGUAGGACUUACUCUUAGCCAGGGACUCCAAUUUAUCAGAGAAAUUAAAAUAGAAAAGUCAAAUUGAGAUUGGUAAAAAAAAAAAAAACAAAACUGUUUUAAGUGCCCUAAACCAAAAUUUACUGAAAAAAAAAUUCACUGUCUUUUAUGCAGGAUUGGCAAAAGUACCUGCACCUUCUGUUUCUUGCACAAUGUGAUGAUAUCUUCAGGUGUGUACAAACCAUGCAUGUGGCUGGCAUGUUCUGCUGGGUUUGAUUUUUGGUGUAUUUUUGCUGGUUAGCCUGUGUAAAUCUAUUUUAAGGCUAGACAGAGCAAAUAAUUCUCAAUGAAUAAUUUACUUGAUAAAUCUAGUGGAUUUUUGUGGGUUUUUUUUUUUCCUUCACAGUCAUAUCUGUGAGCAGAUGUCAAGGUAGUUUUAUUUAUUUUUUCUUUCCCUACGCUGUAUUUACUUUGCUGAUGUUCAGAAUCUGCAUUGCAACCAUCGGUUGCCUUUGGCUGGAGAAGUCAGAAGUUGCCAAACCUGCUCUUCUACAUUUGGAGCUGUAAUGCUCUGCCUGAUGGAGCAUGGCUGUGGGACCAGGCCCAGCCACUGUAGGCCGUACAGAUAUCCUCCUUGUUGCAUAUGUGUGUGUUGAAACUGCUGAAAUCUUGAUACAGGAAAAAAAUAUUGAUGGUAGACACGGUGUGCUUGUAAGAAAUCAGUGGCAAAUAUUGGUUUACUUAUUUAUUUCCAAAUUAAAGCUGAAAUCAUGAUGAUUUUUUUGAAGGGGAAUAAAAGGUGGAGAGAAAAUAAAGAGAACUGUGAUUCCUAAAAAAUCACAGCACAAAGCACAAAGAUACCUCUCAGGAAUUAAUGAUUUUUUUUUUAAGAUUUACAACCUAAUGGGCCUAAAUUCCUUCAAGAUUCCCAUUCUCUGUGAAGUGAUGUUGCUCUGGUUAUGUGAUAAUGGUUAUCAGGCACUGGUGCUGACUGACACACUGCUCUGCACAUCCUGAGCUCAGCUCUGAGAGAGUUAAUUUAAAUUUGAUAACAAAUGGCUCUGCUUUUGAAAUGAAUGUAGCCUAGCAACUUCAACUGGGAGCCUUUUAUCGGGACUCAAUUAUGUAUGCAGCCUCUUUGAGAAAUAGUUUCAUACGUCUGACCCAAGACCUGUGAAAUAAAACCAUACCACGGCGAUGUGUCAUUCCUGUGCAUGCCCCAUGCCUUGGGUGAGGACACAUGGAAUUGCUCAUUCCAUACCAGUUUUCUUGUCCCAACACACAUCUGUCAUGAAUGAUCUUUGUCGCAGCAUUUAACCUGAGUGCGGGUGCUUUUUGGGGGUUUCCAGCCACUCUGCGUCUGCCCCAUCAGCACAGCAGUGUGAAACCAGGGAGACAGGCAACGGGUUAAGCACCCUCACCAUCCCUCUCUUUUUUUUUUUUUUUUUCCAUUUUUUUUCCAAAAUGGCUGCUUUGUCUGUGUGCAUACACCAAUAGCAAAUGUCCUUCUGUUAUUUUACAGCCAAUUUGGUGUGUCAGACAUUCAUAUGCUAAUGAUGGUACAGUGCUUUACUUUUUCACAGAUAAAUUGGAAAGAUUGCUACAGAGAGCGAAACACGAGGAUAAACAGCUUUUAUUUCAGAAGUGAUAAAUUACUUUCCAUUCAAAUAACACGCAACCUAUGCUACUGCCUAUUAUUGUUUCUAUUCAUGGUGAGUUUGCCUUCUGUUUUGCUUUGUAAGAAUGGUCAGAAAAUAUUUAGCAGAUAUCACCAGAGGUGAUGCAAACGAUUUAAGUUCCUUAAUUUUCAGUAGUGUUGCAUGAUGUGAAGUUAAUUUUUUUUACCCAGUUUUUACAGGUAAUAAAAAUGUAAUAGUUUGCUGCAGACGUUGUUCUCCGGCUGACAGUGUUCAUAUUUAUCGUGGCGUGAAAUGGGUGAGAUGUGAAGAUGGGACAUUUCUUCUCAUGCAUUCCUGAAGAUGCCCCAGUGUGUGUGCCCAGCAUCACACUGCUUGGGAGUGCCAGUGGUUUUCCUAAAGCAGAAGCAGAGUAAAAUGAGAGCCAAUGUCUUUUUGUUCUGUUCCAAGACCAACAUUUAUCCAAAACAAGAGUGAAAACUAGAGAUGAGUAUUUGUGUUUUGUUCCCAAAGUACAAUAGGACUGUUGUCGCAGCCAUAUUCCACAAGUAUAAAAAGCAAAGGUAAGUAUGAAAAGCUUCAGUAAUAAGUAUGACCAGGCACUUGUCAUGGAUGAAAUAAACUUGCUUAUUAACCCAGGGCAGGGUGUUCACCAACAUGACAGCAUUCAUUUCUGCUCAGAGAGAGCACGUACUAUAAAAUAGUCAAGGAUCACGUGUGCCUCCUCCUCAGACCCACAAGCGUGUCCACCUGGACUUUUCCUUGCAUUCUUGCAUGCAGCCCUUUACAGGAGUUGGGGCUGCAAAGCUCAGUCCAGAAGGAGGAAGUUCUGGCUGCCACUCUUCCACUCCGUAAUGCCACAAGAUUAUCCUCACUGCACGGCGUGCAGAGAUGCACCAAGAUGCACUCCCAGUUCUCAGAGGUAGCAUUGCCCAUGCUGUGUACGUUUGGGAUGCUGCUGGUUCUGCCAGUGUUCCCUCAUUAUGCUCAGGAGAGUUGUUUCUUGCAGUUUCCUUUUGCAAAGACUAUGCCUGUGUGCUCGGAUGUCAAACUUGGGAAAACAAAUGGACAAAAGGAGGUUAACAAUGAUCUCCCUUGUGAAUUUCUACAGUCAUCUGAAACAACUGUGGCUGCAGGGAAAAGUAAAUUCAAUCAUGUGAGGGAAAGAGGUGAAAAUCAAAGAGAAAAUGACACAGGCAGUUCUGAUGCUUGAGCACAUGGCGGUCAUGCAGGACUGAUGGCUCAUGGCCCAUAAAGCAUAGAGCUGCUCCCCUCAAAGUGUGGUGCUGCAAAUUCUCCUGCACUGCCUGACUCCAAGUGUGCAAGUGAUUCGAUAGGGAGAAACUAUUAGCAACCAGCUCUGGGACUGAUGACUUUGCCAACAUCUCUAGCCUAACAUGGGAUCCAGAAUCAAAAUCCUAAUGCCUUGAAGGAUGCAUGAAAACCAUUUUCACCAUGACUUUAUAGAGUUGAUCUGAGAAGGUUUCUUGCACAUUUACAGUUGGUUUUUUGUAGGUUUCUUUUUUCUGCAAUAUUACUUUUUAUACAAAAUUGUAAAUAUUACUUUUUUUUACAAAAUUACAUUGGAAUGCAAAACAGUCAAGAGUUUUUCCUCAGGUGUGGAACAGAAAAGUUAAACUGAAAACAGGAAAUUGAUACUAAGUAUGACAAUAUUUUUGUAAACCAUGAGAAUUUUUUUUUUCUUUUAAAAAAUAUAUCUUCUUCCACAUCUGAGAUUUAAAAAAAAGAAAAUGUCUGCAAAGGUAAAUGUAUGUGCUCAGCAAGAGCUAAUCAGCCCUUUAAACACCUGAUACAACCCCUAAGAAACUCCAUUGGAAAAGCCAAAACCUACAACCCUGUGAUGCAGCAAUGUACAGUGAAUUAGAAUAAUUACACAAUGAUCAUGAAAAUGCAACUAAAUUCUUCUAGACCAAGUGAAGAACUUCCUGGCACAUUGCUUCUAAGCAUACUGAAAAGAGUUUGGAGUUUGUGCCUCCCUGCUGUGAAGCAAGCAAAAUGGCAGCAGGCAUUGAGCAGUGCAGACCCCUCAGAGGGUGCUGCUUCACUCUAGAAGCCAGGGGAGGAGGGAACUGCAGUCCCUAACUACGUUCAUUUAAAAAUGUUUCUCUCCUGAGAGUUUUAUUCAGGAUAUGUCAAAAAUUUACUUAGUUUAAAGUAAUCCACUGUGGAACCUAAUUACAUGAAAGGUGGCAAGCAGGUCAAGGAGAAGGAGAUGUACAUAAGGUUACAAUUAGCAUACAUUAAAUCUUCAUGAAACCUGGCAACAGAUGUUGUACAAGGACCACAUUUUUUAUUAAGAUGGAAUGCCAUAGCCAACUAUGUUUUUCCUGGAUGACAGGCAGUAAUGGGCUUGUGUUUCUUUGACCAAUCUCCCGUCCAAUAAAGCAUUCCAUCUAGAGUGGCUCAGGUGGUGAAGAUAUGCAGAAAUGCUGAAUCUGGGGAACAAGAGAGGCAGAGAUGUCUUCAGAUGCUGCUUGCCCCUUCCCAGCAGCACCACAAUGUAAGGUGGAAGGAUGUGGGAGGCAAAGAGGUAAAGAAGCAUCUAGCUAGCUGUCUCCUUAUCUCACUGCAGGAAAGCCCUGCUGAAACAGAAGUCAUCUCUCCAUAGUGCUUGAAUAGGGAGAAUCUCAGAGGCCCCACACCUUACUUUCUUUCCCCCGUAGGGUAAUCCACUUUCCUGGGCAACCUCAAUUUGACAGCAUUUGGCUUUUUUGCAUUGCAGAUACAAUAUAAACAAUCAAAAGUAUAUUGCUUACUAUUGCAAUUGUGAUUGCAGUUGUGAGUAUGAUUGCUGUUUCUAUUGCUGUUAUCAUUACUGACCCAUUCUUUUUUAUUGGCCACUUUUGACCAUUUCUUCCCUCAGAUGGGGUGAGGCCCUGGCGCAGCUGCUGAGAGAAGCUGUGGGUGCUCCAUCCCUUUAAGUGUUCAAGGACAGGUUGGAUGGGGCCCUGGGCAGUCUGAGCUGGUGAAUGGCAACAAGCCCAUGUCAGGGCAACUGGAACUGGAUGGACUUGAAGGUCCUUCCAACUCAAGCCAUUCUGUGAUUCUAUGAUUCUGUGAUAAUUCCCCUAAGCUUUCAGCUGGGAGUACUCAUCAGACCAAACCAGUGUGACACAUGAGCAUCACAAGCUGUGGCAAUUAAUCUGCUCUCUUCUACACUGAGGUCUGUUUGACUGAACUAUUCUUUGUGUUGAGCCAAAGCAUAUCUUCCGAAAAACACUUAGUCUUCACCCAAGUGUGCCAGAGAUGCAUUUCCUGCAGUCUCCAUAUGCAAUUUGCGUGAUGAUUGAGCAGCCUCCCUGGCAAAAUGUUACAGCUAAUUUCUCGUCUGAAUCCUCUUGGCUCCAAUUGCCUACCCCAAACUCUUCAUCUGCCUUCCUCUGGUAGAUGAAGGACCUCUAGCACACAGUCUCUGUUCCCCAUGCAAAUACUUGUACGCUGUAAUCCAUUCUCUUUGUGAUGUUCCCUUUGAUAAACCAAACAAUUCUGUUAUUGAGGAUCUUGAAGACUUUCACUGUUGAACAGUCUUCUGGAUUUCCAGUAUCUUUUUUGAGAGGACCACACAAACAAAUUAUUUAUUUUAGUCUUUCCUCACCAUUGUGGAAUGCAGAGAUGAACACCAAAUUCCUAUGAUACCAUACCUGUAUGGAUAGCACAGCCCUCUUCUAACCACAGAAAUCUGAAACUCUG